Molecule: ribosomal RNA, 506 nt
Filed under: uncultured bacterium
Lineage: Bacteria
Description: partial 16S ribosomal RNA
Rfam family: Bacterial small subunit ribosomal RNA
Source: RNAcentral
GAUGAACGCUAGCUACAGGCUUAACACAUGCAAGUCGAGGGGUAACGAGAGGAAAGCUUGCUUUCCUUGUCGACGACCGGCGCACGGGUGAGUAACGCGUAUCCAACCUGCCCCCAACUAGGGAAUAACCUUGCGAAAGUAAGACUAAUACCCUAUAAUUUCCUCAUAUGCCAUCUGACGAGGAAUAAAGAUUUAUUGGUUGUGGAUGGGGAUGCGUCUGAUUGGCUUGUUGGCGGGGUAACGGCCCACCAAGGCAACGAUCAGUAGGGGUUCUGAGAGGAAGGUCCCCCACAUUGGAACUGAGACACGGUCCAAACUCCUACGGGAGGCAGCAGUGAGGAAUAUUGGUCAAUGGGCGGAAGCCUGAACCAGCCAAGUAGCGUGCAGGAUGACGGCCCUAUGGGUUGUAAACUGCUUUUAUACAGGAAUAAAGUUAGCCACGUGUGGUUAUUUGUAGGUACUGUAUGAAUAAGGACCGGCUAAUUCCGUGCCAGCAGCCGCAGUAA